AGACAGAGGGUGCAAACGUUGUUCGGAAUUACUGGGCAUAAAGAGCACGUAGGCGGCUCGUUUAGUCACACGUGAAAUCCCCCGGCUCAACCGGGGAACUGCGUGCGAUACUGGCGGGCUCGAGGUCGGUAGGGGUGAGCGGAACUCCAGGUGGAGCGGUGAAAUGCGUAGAUAUCUGGAGGAACACCGGUGGCGAAGGCGGCUCACUGGACCGAAACUGACGCUGAGGUGCGAAAGCUAGGGUAGCAAACGGGAUUAGAAACCCCAGUAGUCC
Molecule: ribosomal RNA, 274 nt
Filed under: uncultured bacterium
Lineage: Bacteria
Description: partial 16S ribosomal RNA
Rfam family: Bacterial small subunit ribosomal RNA
Source: RNAcentral